Molecule: ribosomal RNA, 494 nt
Filed under: uncultured bacterium
Lineage: Bacteria
Description: bacterial SSU rRNA
Rfam family: Bacterial small subunit ribosomal RNA
Source: RNAcentral
AACGAACGUUGGCGGCGUGGAUUAGGCAUGCAAGUCGAACGAAAACGGUCUUGUAGCAAUACCGGGCCGGAUUGAGUGGCGAAAGGGGCAGUAAGGCGUGGGUAACCUACCCUGGGGACCGGGAUAGCCUUCCUAACGGAUGGGUAAUACCGGGCGAUCUGCCGAGGGGGCAUCUCCUUGUCAGGAAAUGAAUUUCGCCUCGGGAGGGGCUCACGUGAUAUUAGCUUGUUGGUGAGGUAAUGGCUCACCAAGGCCAAGAUGUCUAGCAGGUGUGAGAGCACGACCUGCGCCACUGGCACUGAGACACUGGCCAGACACCUACGGGUGGCUGCAGUCGAGGAUCUUCGGCAAUGGGCGCAAGCCUGACCGAGCGACGCCGCGUGUGCGAUGAAGGCCUUCGGGUUGUAAAGCACUGUCGAGGGGGAGGAAGGCGCAAGCUUGACCUAUCCCUGGAGGAAGCACGGGCUAAGUUCGUGCCAGCCGCCGCGGUAACA